ACUGGCGGGUAGUCAGCGGGCCGCGAACCUGCGGGAUGCGGUCUCGCCGGGAUUGCUUUGCGGCCGCUUCGGCCGCGGCCUGCCAUUU
RNAcentral lists this transfer RNA (88 nucleotides) under Corynebacterium segmentosum. RNAcentral's name for it is "tRNA-Arg(gcg)". The record is from RNAcentral. Lineage: Bacteria; Bacillati; Actinomycetota; Actinomycetes; Mycobacteriales; Corynebacteriaceae.